ACACAGGUCAGAGCUAAAUGUGGCUCUGUCUGGUCAAGAAAAUAUUCCACCAAAGAGAGAGGAGGCAUGGAGUCGGAAGGGGAACAAGAGAAUAUCGAAGAUUACAUUAAAUGAGAAUUCAACUGCGAACUCACAUGGAAGUACAGAACUUACCCAGAAAAUAAUAUGUAGAACACCAUGAUGAUCAGUGAGAAGAUAUAAUAAAAAGUUUGCAGAUGCAGAUAUUUCCUGAGAAAACCCCAAUUUAUAACAUUUAACAUCAAGUUCCUAUGAAUGUACGCAAGAGGGAAGAGAUAUGGGAACAUAUGUAUAUGUAUAACUGAUUCACUUUGUUAUAAAGCAGAAACUAACACACCAUUGUAAAGCAAUUAUACUCCA
Molecule: long non-coding RNA, 378 nt
Organism: Balaenoptera ricei (Rice's whale)
Lineage: Eukaryota; Metazoa; Chordata; Mammalia; Artiodactyla; Balaenopteridae
Exons: 3
Source: RefSeq, a predicted model, not a curated record